This 431-nucleotide ribosomal RNA is filed under the name uncultured bacterium. Its description in RNAcentral is "partial 16S ribosomal RNA". It matches the Rfam family "Bacterial small subunit ribosomal RNA", at positions 338 to 795 of the family's 1533-position model. The record is from RNAcentral.
CCUACGGGAGGCAGCAGUGGGGAAUAUUGCACAAUGGGCGCAAGCCUGAUGCAGCCAUGCCGCGUGUGUGAAGAAGGCCUUCGGGUUGUAAAGCACUUUCAGCGAGGAGGCGUUACUCGCAGAAGAAGCACCGGCUAACUCCGUGCCAGCAGCCGCGGUAAUACGGAGGGUGCAAGCGUUAAUCGGAAUUACUGGGCGUAAAGCGCACGCAGGCGGUUUGUUAAGUCAGAUGUGAAAUCCCCGCGCUUAACGUGGGAACUGCAUUUGAAACUGGCAAGCUAGAGUCUUGUAGAGGGGGGUAGAAUUCCAGGUGUAGCGGUGAAAUGCGUAGAGAUCUGGAGGAAUACCGGUGGCGAAGGCGGCCCCCUGGACAAGCUGACGCUCAGGUGCGAAAGCGUGGGGAGCAAACAGGAUUAGAUACCCUUGUAGUC